CACCUUUGCUCUUUGAACGUCUCAAUUUGCCAGUCCCCACUCCCACUUUGCCCCAUCUUGCUCCAAGGCUGGCAAACUUUGCUGGAGAAAACCACAAAAGUACUGAUGGAGCUGUCUGCCACUUGUGUCUGUCUUGGCCUGGACCUCAGUGGCAUUAGUCAUCUGUAUGAGAUCAGAAGUUUGAAGAGGCUUGAUUGGUUCUCAAACACUGGGCCAUUCCUCAAGACAUCCACCCUGGCUCUCCUUCAGAAGACUGGCUCUGGCUCUGACAUCUGCCUCAGAAAAUGUUUGCUGACCCCUGACCUAGAAGCUGUGAGGGCUGGUGGAGGAAAUCUUGUGAAGGGCAAGUAUCAUUUUGUAAAGCUCUGCCUCAGAGUGAAGAACAAUUCCUGGAGUGACCCUGACACCAGUGGGAAGCAAACAGGAAGAAGCAAAUCCCUUCUUCCUCCUCCAGCCUCCAGUGUCCCUCCAGCAUCCUCAGGGCCUCCUAGAGCCUAACAGGGAGCAGCUGCAGAGUGGAAAUAUGUGGUGUUCAGAGUCUUAGCUCCAACACCACAUAGUAGGGGUUACCAGGCUGAGCUGCAGUUGCUUAAUCAGCAGCACACGUCCCAGUUAUUCACAGGAGAAGAGAGUCUUCAUAACUGUGAUGCUAAAGCAUGCCAGGAGGAUAUUAUCACCCACUCACCACUAAGAACCAGCUCCUUGUUGCCACCUGAGCAGGAAAUGAUCCAAGACUGAGGAUCUGCUGCCUGGACCCCUUCUAAUACCAACUGUCUUAGUGUGGGUUCCCAGAAGCCAACCCUGAGGCAAGGAUUUGAGUGAAGUGGUUUAUUUGGGAGGUAGAGGGACAAAUAAAGCAUGUGUUGCCAGCCAGCUACCACCAUGGGUGACUGCAGGGAAGCUCUCACCUCCAGCACAGCAGCAAGUACCUCACAGGCUUUCGAGCUUGGUGAGGUAGUCCCAGGCAGAUCGCAGGGAGACAG
Equus caballus (horse) is the source of this 983-nucleotide long non-coding RNA. Lineage: Eukaryota; Metazoa; Chordata; Mammalia; Perissodactyla; Equidae. The record is from Ensembl.